AACCGCGUGGCGGACCUCGGCGAGGCUGGCGUACGAGGCCGGGACCGCGAGGAGCCAAGCCGAAUCGGCGAAGUUGAGGCACGCGCCCGCGCCGGCGAUGGCGAGCAUGGCGGCGUCGUGCGCGCGCGCCGCGGCCUCGGCGGUGUCGAAUGUGCCGAGCCAGAGCCUGCAGCCGCGCCUCCCCGGCACGCGCACCUCGCACACCCACCGCCCGGCGUUGCCCCGGCGCCGGACGCCGCGGAACACGGGGUGCCGCGUCUCGCGGAACUUGGUCCGCCCCGCCGGCCGCUUCGGCGGCGACGUCCACACGGUCUGGUGCUCCGACGAGGCCGAGGGCGAGGCCGAGGCUGAGGCCGACGACUCGGCGCUCAUCUCCUUCUUGAUCGGCGGACACAUCUUGCUCUGGAUCACGCGUGGAACGAUUGCUUCGGUAGUGCUCUCGAGUGGAUGUUGUGCUUACUGUUUGGUUACCUCUGCUGCUGCUGCUUAGAAUUGUGUUCGAGUGGUUUUGCGAUGCGAUGGUGGAUUUGCUGGCGCAUAUUUAUAGGUGGUGGCGGAUGCAGGGGAUAAAACGCGGGAAGGGAGCACACAGCUGGAGAAAGUGAAGCAGAGGAAAGGGGGACGCAUCUGGGUAAGGCCGAGGACGCAACUUGCCGCAGAAAACAGUAGGCACUUCGAGAGUGACCUGAUAUUUUCAUUAUUUAUUCAUAUGUCUAUCGGCAUCAGUAUGGCGCGAGUACGACCACAAGACUGCUUUUGCUUCCGCUAACGGUUUCCGUCUCUCGUAAACCUACAACGGUUUUGUGGGCUUGUCAAAUCCCACUCUUGUUCUUUCUCUAGAAAAAUGUCCGUUAUGGGCGACACCACGAAGUUGGUGAGGAGGUGAGUGUGCGAGGUGGUGGUUAGUAGAUUUGUGUUACUGAGGUGAUCUACGUUGUUUGGCGACAGGUGACAUAAGGAGGUUUUCUAACCGGUACCUAGAGGACCUACGUGAUACUUCUAUCUUUGGUGAGGCAACUAGGUUAUUGAAUGGGAUCGACUUGAUAAGCGCCAGAGACAGCUACUCACACAUUAGUUUGGCAGCUUGUAAUGGGUUACAAUGGCUAGCCCUUCUUGACGGUGGCUAUUCCGGUGUGGUAUAUCGUCUUGAUAGGUGGCGCAAGUGGAUCCGAUUGCAGAACGGCUACACGGCUUGCAGCGACCUACGGCGGCUACUCCUGCUUGGAAGCUAGCUCGCUCGGUAUAGAUUAUCAUCGGUGACGACGACGUGAGUUGUGAUGAUGGUGUUUUCACCUGACGUCCUUAGUCUAGUCUUUUGGGGGUUGGCGGUGCAGUGAGGCGGUUUGGAGAUAAUGGUGGUUCUCUUUUAUUUUUUAUUUUUUGAGUUGAUCUCCGGCUUUGUGUAGUUUGUGUUAAUGUCUCAAUCCGACUCAAUCUGACUAACUAGAGUUGUCUUUUUUUUUCUUUUUGUUGAGUUUGUUUUGCAAUAUGGUUGUUGUUUAUUGUAUCGUUGUGCCUAUUUUAAAUUUAUUUUCUUUUGUUGAGUUUGUUUUGCAAUAUGCCCCACCUCUCAAACAGCGGUUAGCAAUUUCGAUUCUUGGUUCGCUUGGAGCAUGUGCUGUUUGAGAGGUGGGACUCCGUAUAUCUAGAGAGUCUGUGUGGUCAGCACGUCGAAUAAAGGCUUAUGUUUGUCGUCAUUUAAUGAAAAUUGAAUUUCCCUGUUAGUGAAAUGGAUGAAAUCUAUAGUAGUAGUAUGUCAGAAGAAAGAAUUGGCAUUAUGCUGCUGGUUGCGUUCUGCUGCAGCUGCAGGUCUAUUCGCUUGACCUUAUCAGCCGAAUUUAUCAGUUAUUCAAUAGUAUUUUUCUCUCACAACAAAUCAGCUAAGGCCUUGUUUAGUUCCGAAAACUUUUCGGUUUUCGAAACUGUAGCACUUUCGUUUUUAUUUGACAAAUAUUAUCUAAUCAUGUAGUAACUAGGCUUAAAAGAUUCAUCUCGUGAUUUACAGGUAAAUUGUGUAAUUAGUUUUUAUUUUCGUUUAUAUUUAAUACUCCAUGCAUGUGUCACAAGAUUCGAUGUGACGGGAAAUCUUGAAAAGAUUUUGGUUUUUGGGGUGUAGUAUUUUCUGCCAUACCUCAUUAGCCAAACAAACAAUGAACCCGAUGAAUAAGUUAUUUUUUAAAAAAAGAUGGAUUUUCAAACAGAAUCUUAACCGCGGAAAUCUUAAUCUAGAAAUUCUUACGGGCAGACUGGACCCGGUUGAGUCCUAAAGCUCAGGAAACACACAUGUAGGAUUAACUGAAGAGAAAAGUCUUCCUUGACAACCAUCUCGGCAACUCCAUGCUACUGCUCCUGGAGCUGGACCGGCCUCGCGCCAUCGCGAGCCGUCAAAGCUGAUGGAUGGCGACAUUUGGGAGCCGCGAUACUGAAACCACCCAUGGUAUCACAGAGCGGGCACCAGCAGCAGCCGCCAGCCGGGAAGCUCCCGCACCUGAACCGCGUGCGGCAUUCGCCGCAGUCCCGAUCCCACAGUCCUGCUGCUUGCCGCUUCCGCUGUGCCCAAAACCACCAAAAGCGCCCACAGCCCACUUGCUUCCGACCGACCGAGUCCGUUCCGGGGGCAAGCGGACAAGACACUACUGUACCCUCUCGCCCAACUUUGUGGGAGGACGACGGACGGUGGAUGCCUCCGCAGUCCGCACUCCGUCCGCGCCGUCGCAACCAUGGCGAGUCGAGCUGGCGACCCUCAACCUCAAUCGUUCACCAUAUGUCGUCGUCGCUCGCGUCACGGCCAUGGACGAAAAAGGCACGCACGCUCAGUGAGGAGGUGACGGCACGGCCAACCGUACCCCAGCUGUGUCCUCUGUUGCUCGCUUGUGCUUCCGCUCGUGGUAAAGGCCUAAAAGGUUAGUGGAGUAUUCUAGUCUAGUCCAGUUGCCGCUUGGGGGCGGCCAAGCGGGGGCGGCAGCGACGGCGACGUCGCGGGAGGUGCGUAGGCCGCCGCAGCAGGCAGCGACGGGCGCGGCCUGAGCUUAUCCACCCGCGCGCCGUGCACACGCGCUUCUGGCCUGGAUCCACCGUGGCGACCAAAAAAAUAAGUGGGGGUUGGGGGGGGGAGGGAAGGUUAGCCGUUCGCGGUGGGAAUUCGAGUCACUCCUGACGGUCACGGUCCUGGACGGGACGGGUGGAAGAUUUCUUUACAGUUUGCUGAUAAACAACUUGAUUGAAGAAGAAACGUGCAGAACUGAACACCGCGGAGUCCAAUCACCUUAGGCAUAAGCUGUGAUUAGAGGUGUUACAGCUGUACCGAUCGACUCAAUGGAUUGUUUUUCUUUUCGUUUCUUUUCUUUUCGAACAAUGACUCCACGGAGUGUCACACUGAAAUCUUUACAGAUCUUGAUAACAUUUCAUGCUCUCACUUCGGGAUUUCAACCAGCCAGGGUUGAAUGGUUGAUCGAUCCUUCUUCACACUGCCACAGCGAAAAAGAAUUCUUGGAUGCUGAAAUUACCACCCCCCCUUUUUUUUUACAAAUGUAUGGCUUGCACAGCAAUGACGUUGUUCGUGACUGUCAGUCUGCGCGCCUUGACGCAACUGACUGACUCCGUCAACAGUUGACGUGCUGCUGCCCUCCCCCCUUGUGUAGCAUCACUGCUAACAUGCGAGUGUGUCAACGGAGCACGGCCGCUGCACGGGCGAGGGUCGCCCCCUGUUUCCAUUGAAUAGGCGGACGGCUUCUCACUUGACCCUCGGUUAUGGGUUUCGGCCAUAGAAAAAAGAAGUCUGCCAAAUAAACAACAGUACAUGAGACAGACAAGUUGAGGGUCAAACCCUACUAUAACCACCAUGGCGGAGUCCCAGUUGCAUGAUUCCCAAGCCUCGAAUAAUUCUGGUCUCCACAUAUUUAGUUUAGUUUAAUUUAGUAACUAGUUAUAUGCAUUUCUUUUUUGGAAAAGCCAUAAUAGCAAAUCUAUUAAGUGAUUAUUUGAAUAGGAUUCAUGGACCAAAAUAAAAUUCAUCUUUUUACUACCUAUGAAGCAGCACAUACCACUACGUUUGGUACUCUUUUGGCAGUGUGUGAAGUGGACUCUCCCAAGUUUCUUUCAACUCGGAACAGUCGCACUUGUGGCUUUAUCCAUGUCAUUAGGGCUUUGUUUACUUCUAUUUUUUUUUAUAAAAUAGAAAUAGUAACAUUUUUGUUUGUAUUUGACAAAUAUUGUUCAAUCAUAAACUAACUAGGCUCAAAAGAUUCAUCUCGUAAAUUACAAGUAAAUUGUAUAAUUAGAUAUUUAUUUUAUUUAUAUUUAGUGCUCAAUACAUAUGUCGCAAAAUUCGAUGCGAUGAAGAAUGUGAAAAAUUUUGUAAAAUAUUUUGAGAACUAAACAAGGUCUAGAUCCUGUCUCAUGGAUACUAUGGAUCUACAGUUCCUAUUGCAUCCUCUAGUAGGACUGUAGGAAUAGUAAGUGCAAAGGCUGAAGCAAUGAUGCUUUCCUUAGAAAACCAUAGUAUCAUCGUAAGUGCUAAAAAAGGAUUAUAUAUAUAUAUAUAUAUAUAUAUAUAUAUAUAUAUAUAGCUAUGACUUUUCAGAUAAAUAAACAGGCUCUAGUCUUAUAAAAUAUCAAUGGGCAUGCUCUAUUUCGAUGUUUCCCAAACUUGGUCUGUCUCAUCAUUACCAAAUGAAGUAACCGUUACACUGCCAAAACUAGCCAUUAGAGGCCAAGCUUUAGAAACCGAAAAUUUCAGAGUACAACGGCCUCAGAGUCUCUAGUAGCUCCAUAGUGGCACAUCGGCGAAGCCUUCGUCCAUGAACGCGGUGACCGCGGACGGUGGUUCCACGAGCAUCCCCUGCGCCAAGCUCGCGUAGUACAGGUCCCAGCUCAUGUCAUUGAACACGUCCAAUUCGAACGGCGAGGCCCCGGUGGCGGCCGGAGACGAAUCAGAUUCAGAGGACUCCCCGCCAUCAGAGGUGCUUCCGUCGUCGCUGCUGGACGGGGACGACGGCGGCGUCGAGGACGUGGCCGAAAGCGCAUCGUCCUCUUGGACCACCUCACGGAGCAGGAACUCCUCCACGGCCUCCGCGACGGCGUGGCGGACCUCGGCGAGGCUGGCGUACGAGGCCGGCACGGCGAGGAGCCAGGCCGAGUCGGCGAAGUUGAGGCAGGCGCCCGCGCCGGCGAUGGCGAGCAUGGCGGCGUCGUGCGCGCGGGCCGCGGCGUCCGCGGUGUCGAAGGUGCCGAGCCAGAGCCUGCAGCCGCGCCUCCCCGGCACGCGCACCUCGCACACCCACCGCCCGGCGUUGCCCCGCCUCCGGACGCCGCGGAACACCGGGUGCCUCGUCUCCCGGAACUUGGUCCGCCCCGCGGGCCGCUUCGGUCGCG
Molecule: long non-coding RNA, 5373 nt
Filed under: Sorghum bicolor (sorghum)
Lineage: Eukaryota; Viridiplantae; Streptophyta; Magnoliopsida; Poales; Poaceae
Description: long non-coding RNA (SBIC_LNC003702)
Source: RNAcentral